GACGAACGCUGGCGGCGUGCUUAACACAUGCAAGUCGAACGGCAGCACGGGGGCAACCCUGGUGGCGAGUGGCGAACGGGUGAGUAAUACAUCGGAACGUGCCCCGUAGCGGGGGACAACCAGUCGAAAGACUGGCUAAUACCGCAUACGCUCCACGGAGGAAAGCAGGGGGAUCGCAAGACCUUGCACUAUGGGGAGCGGCCGAUGCCCGAUUAGCUAGUUGGUGAGGUAAAGGCUCACCAAGGCAACGAUCGGUAGCUGGUCCUGAGAGGACGACCAGCCACACUGGGACUGAGACACGGCCCAGACUCCUACGGGAGGGCAGCAGUGGGGAAUUUUGGACAAUGGGCGCAAGCCUGAUCCAGCCAUGCCGCGU
RNAcentral lists this ribosomal RNA (376 nucleotides) under uncultured bacterium. RNAcentral's name for it is "bacterial SSU rRNA". It matches the Rfam family "Bacterial small subunit ribosomal RNA", at positions 28 to 402 of the family's 1533-position model. The record is from RNAcentral.